RNAcentral lists this long non-coding RNA (738 nucleotides) under Monodelphis domestica (gray short-tailed opossum). RNAcentral's name for it is "lncRNA (ENSMODG00000044422.1)". The record is from RNAcentral. Lineage: Eukaryota; Metazoa; Chordata; Mammalia; Didelphimorphia; Didelphidae.
AUGGUAAAAGUACAAAGGAUUUUCCUGAGGCACAUUGAAGUUAAGAGACUUGACCAGUCUGCUGAAGAAAGCAACACUGCAAAGUGCAGAAGAAAGGGUGCUGCUUCCUGGAAGUGGCAGAGGACUCUCCCUUGGUGGUCUGGACAUGUUUACCCCAAGGCAUCUGGAGAGCUGAAGGUGAUCUCAGCAGGAGAAUGAGUUCCAUCCCCAAAUCAUCCCACAGGAAAUAACCAACAUAGCUUCAUUGCUCACUGCACUGUCACCACGACAUCCCCCUCCUAACCCUGAUCCUUCUUUCCAUGAAGAUUCACAUUCCAAAGUAGGUAUGUGUCAUUCCUGGGCUAAUCUCCUUCUGAUGAGGGAAACAGAAAGAAUUUUCACUAGGACGUUUCAAGGAUCCUAUUCAAGCUUCUCUGGAUAGUUCUAAUAUGGACAUAGUCAUUUGUAUGUUGUGUCCCCUUUUCAAUUGUGAGCUUGAAAGCAGGGACACUGUUCCUGCUUCUCUUUGUAUCCCCAGUGUUUAUCACUCCACCAGGCCCAAAGUAGGUUAAGCCAUAGCGAGCUUAAGAAAUGGAUUUGUUGACUUACUUAGAGCUGGAAUACCUGGCUUUCAAAUGAUACCUCCCAGCAUACAUACCUCCACUAUUUGUUGGUAUAGGAGAAAGGUGAAAUGUUUUAGAAUGAGAGGUGCAAGGCAUAAACUUUGCCUCAGGGAAUAAAUGUGAAGAGAGUGGAACA